Molecule: long non-coding RNA, 513 nt
Organism: Oreochromis aureus
Lineage: Eukaryota; Metazoa; Chordata; Actinopteri; Cichliformes; Cichlidae
Exons: 5
Source: RefSeq, a predicted model, not a curated record
AAGCAUGUAAAUAUAAUAAUAACCACAGCAACCAAGAAGAGUGCCUGACGAGCCCAGCUAAAGAACUAUCAGCGACGCGCUCCGCCCCGGAGAAGAGAUGGGAGCGAUUAUUGGAGGAGAGGAAGCAAAUAAGCAAGCAAACAUUUUUUUUUUAUAAGUUAUACGGGAAUAGUCGAUAAGAUCAGUGUUGGCUACUGCUGGGGGAGCUCUUGCUUAAUGUCUAUUUUAGAGUACGCUCACGCCAAGCGCCAGUGUGCAGGAGCUGCUCGUUGGAGGUCACAUUGCUGUCAAACUGACAGCGGCGAAGUCCCGCACCAAGGAAAGCACGCUCUGCUUUGUCCUUCUGUGCACACACUGGAGAUUGCCGGCAAAUCCACGGUGACCUCGAAGUAGCUGUCACAGUGAAGCCUGUGGCUGGAUGUCAAGCAGGAUGCGUUUUAAAAAUAACAGUUUUCAUAUACUGCAAAUGACUGAAGGCAAACCUUUGAGCGUCAGACAAGUUUUACCAUGAUU